This 203-nucleotide non-coding RNA is filed under the name Agrobacterium albertimagni. RNAcentral also lists the same sequence under 1 other name. Lineage: Bacteria; Pseudomonadati; Pseudomonadota; Alphaproteobacteria; Hyphomicrobiales; Rhizobiaceae. The record is from RNAcentral.
AGAUGCAGGCAAGCUCGAGGUGCUGCCCUGCUAGGGAGGGUGGGAAAUCGGGAAGCCGGUCAAAAUCCGGCGCUGCCCCCGCAACGGUGGUGGAGAAUGCGUUUUGGCACAAGGCCACUGGGGGCAACCCUGGGAAGGCGCCGACGCGGUCCGCAAAUGGACCACUCCUGAGCCCGGAAACCAGCCUCGGCAGACGGACAUUU